RNAcentral lists this ribosomal RNA (505 nucleotides) under bacterium enrichment culture clone ALO1_GLFRUDD03GXOKR. RNAcentral's name for it is "bacterial SSU rRNA". It matches the Rfam family "Bacterial small subunit ribosomal RNA", at positions 9 to 511 of the family's 1533-position model. The record is from RNAcentral.
GAGUUUGAUCAUGGCUCAGAUUGAACGCUGGCGGCAGGCCUAACACAUGCAAGUCGAGCGGAUGACGGGAGCUUGCUCCUUGAUUCAGCGGCGGACGGGUGAGUAAUGCCUAGGAAUCUGCCUGGUAGUGGGGGACAACGUUUCGAAAGUUACGCUAAUACCGCAUAUUCUGUGAGCAGGAAAGCGGGGGACCUUCGGGCCUUGCGCUAUCAGAUGAGCCUAGGUCGGAUUAGCUAGUUGUGGGGUAAUGGCUCACCAAGGCGACGAUCCGUAACUGGUCUGAGAGGAUGAUCAGUCACACUGGAACUGAGACACGGUCCAGACUCCUACGGGAGGCAGCAGUGGGGAAUAUUGGACAAUGGGCGAAAGCCUGAUCCAGCCAUGCCGCGUGUGUGAAGAAGGUCUUCGGAUUGUAAAGCACUUUAAGUUGGGAGAAGGGCAGUAAGUUAAUACCUUGCUGUUUUGACGUUACCGACAGAAUAAGCACCGGCUAACUCUGUGCCAG